Molecule: ribosomal RNA, 491 nt
Filed under: uncultured bacterium
Lineage: Bacteria
Description: bacterial SSU rRNA
Rfam family: Bacterial small subunit ribosomal RNA
Source: RNAcentral
AUGAACGCUAGCUACAGGCUUAACACAUGCAAGUCGCGGGGUAACAUCUGGGAGAGCUUGCUCUUCCAGGAUGACGACCGGCGCACGGGUGAGUAACGCGUAUCCAACCUGGCCCAUACCACGGGAUAGCCCGUCGAAAGGCGGAUUAAUACCGUAUGCUGUCAUUAAGAUGCAUAUAUUGAUGACGAAAGGACUGGCGGUAUGGGAUGGGGAUGCGUCUGAUUAGCUUGUUGGCGGGGUAACGGCUCACCAAGGCGACGAUGCGUAGGGGUUCUGAGAGGAAGGUCCCCCACACUGGUACUGAGACACGGACCAGACUCCUACGGGAGGCAGCAGUGAGGAAUAUUGGUCAAUGGGCGAGAGCCUGAACCAGCCAAGUAGCGUGCAGGACGACGGCCCUAUGGGUUGUAAACUGCUUUUAUAAGGGAAUAAAGUGAGUCUCGUGAGACUUUUUGCAUGUACCUUAUGAAUAAGGACCGGCUAAUUCCGUG